RNAcentral lists this ribosomal RNA (1472 nucleotides) under Salmonella enterica subsp. enterica serovar Typhimurium. RNAcentral's name for it is "partial 23S ribosomal RNA". The record is from RNAcentral. Lineage: Bacteria; Pseudomonadati; Pseudomonadota; Gammaproteobacteria; Enterobacterales; Enterobacteriaceae.
CGGGCGACGGUUGUCCCGGUUUAAGCGUGUAGGUGUGUGUUCCAGGUAAAUCCGGUUCACUUUAACACUGAGGCGUGACGACGAGGCACUACGGUGCUGAAGCAACAAAUGCCCUGCUUCCAGGAAAAGCCUCUAAGCAUCAGGUAACAYSAAAUCGUACCCCAAACCGACACAGGUGGUCAGGUAGAGAAUACCAAGGCGCUUGAGAGAACUCGGGUGAAGGAACUAGGCAAAAUGGUGCCGUAACUUCGGGAGAAGGCACGCUGACACGUAGGUGAAGUGAUUUACUCAYGGAGCUGAAGUCAGUCGAAGAUACCAGCUGGCUGCAACUGUUUAUUAAAAACACAGCACUGUGCAAACACGAAAGUGGACGUAUACGGUGUGACGCCUGCCCGGUGCCGGAAGGUUAAUUGAUGGGGUCAGCGCAAGCGAAGCUCCUGAUCGAAGCCCCGGUAAACGGCGGCCGUAACUAUAACGGUCCUAAGGUAGCGAAAUUCCUUGUCGGGUAAGUUCCGACCUGCACGAAUGGCGUAAUGAUGGCCAGGCUGUCUCCACCCGAGACUCAGUGAAAUUGAACUCGCUGUGAAGAUGCAGUGUACCCGCGGCAAGACGGAAAGACCCCGUGAACCUUUACUAUAGCUUGACACUGAACAUUGAGCCUUGAUGUGUAGGAUAGGUGGGAGGCUUUGAAGUGUGGACGCCAGUCUGCAUGGAGCCGACCUUGAAAUACCACCCUUUAAUGUUUGAUGUUCUAACGUGGACCCGUAAUCCGGGUUGCGGACAGUGUCUGGUGGGUAGUUUGACUGGGGCGGUCUCCUCCUAAAGAGUAACGGAGGAGCACGAAGGUUGGCUAAUCCUGGUCGGACAUCAGGAGGUUAGUGCAAUGGCAUAAGCCAGCUUGACUGCGAGCGUGACGGCGCGAGCAGGUGCGAAAGCAGGUCAUAGUGAUCCGGUGGUUCUGAAUGGAAGGGCCAUCGCUCAACGGAUAAAAGGUACUCCGGGGAUAACAGGCUGAUACCGCCCAAGAGUUCAUAUCGACGGCGGUGUUUGGCACCUCGAUGUCGGCUCAUCACAUCCUGGGGCUGAAGUAGGUCCCAAGGGUAUGGCUGUUCGCCAUUUAAAGUGGUACGCGAGCUGGGUUUAGAACGUCGUGAGACAGUUCGGUCCCUAUCUGCCGUGGGCGCUGGAGAACUGAGGGGGGCUGCUCCUAGUACGAGAGGACCGGAGUGGACGCAUCACUGGUGUUCGGGUUGUCAUGCCAAUGGCACUGCCCGGUAGCUAAAUGCGGAAGAGAUAAGUGCUGAAAGCAUCUAAGCACGAAACUUGCCCCGAGAUGAGUUCUCCCUGAGACUUAGAGUCUCCUGAAGGAACGUUGAAGACGACGACGUUGAUAGGCCGGGUGUGUAAGCGCAGCGAUGCGUUGAGCUAACCGGUACUAAUGAACCGUGAGGCUUAACCUUACAACGCCGAAG